This 262-nucleotide ribosomal RNA is filed under the name uncultured Methanosaeta sp. Its description in RNAcentral is "partial 16S ribosomal RNA". It matches the Rfam family "Archaeal small subunit ribosomal RNA", at positions 1075 to 1338 of the family's 1478-position model. Lineage: Archaea; Methanobacteriati; Methanobacteriota; Methanomicrobia; Methanotrichales; Methanotrichaceae. The record is from RNAcentral.
CUCCUGGAGUGACGGGUACACUGUGGGGACCGCCGCUGCUAAAGCGGAGGAAGGAAUGGGCAACGGUAGGUCAGUAUGCCCCGAAUAUCCCGGGCUACACGCGAGCUACAAUGGUUGGUACAAUGGGUAUCUACCCGAAAGGGGACGGGAAUCUCCUAAAACCAAUCUUAGUUCGGAUUGAGGGCUGCAACUCGCCCUCAUGAAGCUGGAAUCCGUAGUAAUCGCGUUUCAACAGAACGCGGUGAAUACGUCCCUGCUCCUU